RNAcentral lists this ribosomal RNA (254 nucleotides) under uncultured bacterium. Its description in RNAcentral is "partial 16S ribosomal RNA". It matches the Rfam family "Bacterial small subunit ribosomal RNA", at positions 524 to 776 of the family's 1533-position model. The record is from RNAcentral.
UACGUAGGGGGCAAGCGUUGUCCGGAAUUAUUGGGCGUAAAGAGCUCGUAGGCGGUGUGUCGCGUCGGCCGUGAAAACCUGCAGCUUAACUGUGGGCUUGCGGUCGAUACGGGCAUCACUGGAGUUCGGCAGGGGAGACUGGAAUUCCUGGUGUAGCGGUGAAAUGCGUAGAUAUCUGGAGGAACACCGGUGGCGAAGGCGGCAUUCUGGACCGACAUUGACGCUGAGGAGCGAAAGCCAGGGGAGCAAACGGG